Tripterygium wilfordii is the source of this 364-nucleotide long non-coding RNA. RefSeq lists it as uncharacterized. The record is from RefSeq and is a predicted model, not a curated record. The transcript has 2 exons. Lineage: Eukaryota; Viridiplantae; Streptophyta; Magnoliopsida; Celastrales; Celastraceae.
GGUAGAGGGCGACUGCCUGUCUGGUUUGUCUCCAAAAAUGCCCAUAUCAUGCGCUUAAUUUACAUGACCGCCCCUUCGUCUUCUCCCAGGCUCCCAGCUCCCGUUACUCCUCUUCCACGCCGUAUUUUGCGAUUUGGCAGAAUCAAUCCGUGCGAUUCUCUUUUUCAACUCUCGCUUACCAGGCGAUCGAGAACGGUUAUUUGAAUUUAAAAGCGCAGGCGAGGUCCCAAGUUGUAUUGCUCGCUCAAGUUCGAGCAACAGUGAAUGCAGAUGCAAAAUUUCGGGCCAGCAUUGAGAAUUGCGCUGUAGGUACCCUUUCUACUUGGGACGCCUGCGCUGCAGGUACGCUCUCUAUGGAGUCUUG